RNAcentral lists this transfer RNA (89 nucleotides) under Candidatus Aminicenantota bacterium. RNAcentral describes it as "Candidatus Aminicenantes bacterium tRNA-Leu". It matches the Rfam family "tRNA". Rfam says of the family: Transfer RNA (tRNA) molecules are approximately 80 nucleotides in length. Their secondary structure includes four short double-helical elements and three loops (D, anti-codon, and T loops). The record is from RNAcentral. RNAcentral also lists the same sequence under 2 other names. Lineage: Bacteria; Candidatus Aminicenantota.
GCCGGUGUGGCGGAACUGGCAGACGCGCGGGACUCAAAAUCCCGUGCCCUUUGCGGGGCGUGUGGGUUCGAUUCCCUCCACCGGCACCA